GAGGAGAUACUCCUACUGUAAGGAACCGGACUUUUAAAAUUAUGAAGUUACGAUAUACAUUUGGUUGGAAAGCCAUUUGAAUGGUUCCGGUAAGGUUGCGGUGGAAUGUAAUAUACCGGAUUUUAAAUAUAAAAAUAAAAAUAAAUAAAAAUAGUAUGAGAUACUAUUUUUAUUGGAUUUAGAGGAGUAAAACAUAAGUCAGAAGUGACUUGUGCUGAAAUCGGAAUGAAAACAGAAGAUCUAGAAUUUUCUGUUGGAAACGGGACAGAUAAAUUAGCAGAAAAUGCACAGUCUCAGAAAAUUAUGAAAAUUGGAGGAUAAGUCAAAAAUAUUUUUAUGAGGCUAGAUUUGAAGUUUCAUAUUUUUCUGACACCCGUAGAGUGAGAAAUAAAAUCUGAAAGCUAUCUGAUAAAGAUUGCAGUUCGGCACAGUUUUCGGUGACCAAACGGAGUCGAAACUGGAAACUUAAAAUAUAUUCUUGCUCAGUACGUAAAACUGAACAUGACUGUCAAGUUUGGGCUCAAACGGAGAUUCAGGGAGCUCCGACGAAAGAUAUCAGAUUUCAAGCUGCCCGGGAUGAAUAGUGUUUUGAGGGGUGUUAAUUAUAAGAGAAGCAGCAGCUUCUUCUUCUUCCGUCAACCGGGCACACCCAAGCAUCACACGCACACACGCAUGGAAGGGAAAAGAGAGAAAUCUCCUUCUCUCUCUAGAUCUCUCCCAAAAUAGAUGGGUUUUGGUGGAGAUUGAAGCUCAAGGGUGGGUUUUCAUCUUCAUGGUCUCCUUCCUCUCCAUUGGAGCAUGCUUUGAAGGUAAGCUUUAAGAGCUUUAAUGGCAUUUCUCUAUUGCUUGGGUUUUAAGCUCUAGAAACGGAUUAGUAGCUUUCCUAGAUGCUAAGUAGAUGAAUUAUGCUUAGAUCCUAAGUUCUAAUGGUGGGUUUUUACCUAGUGAAACCUAGAGCUCCAAAAUGAGGGCUUUAAUGGUAGAUCUCUAAAGAUAGGUCUAAAUACUUUGGAAAUGGUUUUUGUGGAACCCAUUGAUGCCUAAUAGAUGAUUAAUGCUUGAAUCAUAGAGCAAUCUAAUGAUUUCUUGCAUAGUUGUAAACCUAGGGCUCAAAAUGCUAACUUUCAAAGUAUGAGGGUUUGAUCUCAUUUGACCCUUCGUAAACCUAAU
RNAcentral lists this long non-coding RNA (1170 nucleotides) under Ananas comosus (pineapple). RNAcentral's name for it is "long non-coding RNA (ACOM_LNC043172)". Lineage: Eukaryota; Viridiplantae; Streptophyta; Magnoliopsida; Poales; Bromeliaceae. The record is from RNAcentral.